This 497-nucleotide ribosomal RNA is filed under the name uncultured bacterium. Its description in RNAcentral is "partial 16S ribosomal RNA". It matches the Rfam family "Bacterial small subunit ribosomal RNA", at positions 28 to 507 of the family's 1533-position model. The record is from RNAcentral.
GACGAACGCUGGCGGCGUGCCUAAUACAUGCAAGGAGAACGCUGAAGAGAGGAGCUUGCUCUUCUUGGAUGAGGUGCGAACGGGUGAGUAACGCGUAGGUAACCUGCCUUGGAGCGGGGGAUAACUAUUGGAAACGAUAGCGAAUACCGCAUAACAAUGGAUGACACAUGUCAUUUAUUUGAAAGGGGCAAUUGCUCCACUACAAGAUGGAUCUUCGUUGUAUUAGCUAGUAGGUGAGGUAACGGCUCACCUAGGCGACGAUACAUAGCCUACCUGAGAGGGUCUCCGGCCCCACCUGGAGUGUGACAAGGCCCAGGCUCCUCCUGGAGGCCGCAGCAGGGGCUCUUCGCCACUGGGGGCGAUCCUGACCGAGCAACGCCGCGUCAUAGACGAAGGUUUUCGGAUCGUAACGCUCUGUUGUCAGUCGAGAGCGAGUGUGAGAGUGGAAAGUUCACACUGUGACGGUAGCUUACCCGAACGGGACGGCUAACUACGUG